This 912-nucleotide long non-coding RNA is filed under the name Equus asinus (donkey). RNAcentral's name for it is "lncRNA (ENSEASG00005037096.1)". Lineage: Eukaryota; Metazoa; Chordata; Mammalia; Perissodactyla; Equidae. The record is from RNAcentral.
CUUAUCGGCAACUUCUCUGCCCUUUUUUAGGCCUCAAAAGUGCUACCUUCUUUACAAAGUAUUAUCCAGGGGAGUUGGAAAGACAACCUCUCCUUGAGGAACCAAACUAAGGUCUGUCUCCUUCAAAAAGCCUUCUGUGAUCGCUCCAUCUCAGUCAUUUCUCUGCUCUUCUGGUUUACUGGAGGCUGUGAUUGGAUUAAAUUAAAUAAUUACUGAAAAUCCUCUAGGGAAAAGCCCAUUUUGCUGGGUGCUAAGGCAGGGAGAGAGGAGGUGGUGGGAACCAACAGUGCGCCUGCCCAGUGCUUGAGGAGUGACAGUCUGUGGAAGGACACACACUGGACAGUCACACCCUGCGAGAAAAAAAAAGAUGAGGCUGACUUCUGCAAAUUUUGGAUACCAUGAUGACCUCAGAAAACCUAGAGGACCUUCCACAACCUUGUGGCAGCUUCAGACUAAGAGGAACAAUCUGUCUACUAAAUGAAUAUCACCAGGAGCAGCAAAUCCCACCAGUCAUCCACCAGCAGGAAUUGUCCCCCAGGAGAACUGAUUUAUACAGCAGGACAUCAAGUGCAUGAUAAAGACACAUAAUAUAGGUGGGCCUUUGAAGGCAAUUACGUUUAGAUGCCAUCCCUAUGCUGGAAUUAGCACCCUUAUGGGAAGAGACACCAGGGAGCUUGUUUCUUCUCUCUCUCCCCACCAUGUGAGGACACAGGCGAAGGCGGCCAUCUGCAAGCCAGGAAGAGAGCCCUCACCACAACCUGACCAUGCUGGCAACUUGAUCUUGGGCUUGCCAGCCUCCAGAACCGUGAGAGAAUAAAUUUCUGUUGCUUAAACCACCCAGUCUAUUUUAUUUUGUUAUGGCAGCCUGAGCAGACUAUGACACUGAACAAAAUUAAAAACCAGAUCCUCCAA